CCUACGGGAGGCAGCAGUAGGGAAUCUUCCACAAUGGGCGAAAGCCUGAUGGAGCAACGCCGCGUGGGUGAAGAAGGUCUUCGGAUCGUAAAACCCUGUUGUUAGAGAAGAAAGUGCGUGAGAGUAACUGUUCCCGGUUCGACGGUAUCUAACCAGACAGCCACGGCUAACUACGGGCCAGCAGCCGCGGUAAUACGUAGGUGGCAAGCGUUAUCCGGAUUGAUUGGGCGUAAAGGGAACGCAGGCGGUCUUUUAAGUCUGAUGUGACAGCCUUCGGCUUAACCGGAGUAGUGCAUUGGAAACUGGGAGACUUGAGUGCAGAAGAGGAGAGUGGAACUCCAUGUGUAGCGGUGAAAUGCGUAGAUAUAUGGAAGAACACCAGUGGCGAAAGCGGCUCUCUGGUCUGUAACUGACGCUGCGGUUCGAAAGCGUGGGUAGCAAACAGGAUUAGAUACCCGGGUAGUC
Molecule: ribosomal RNA, 465 nt
Filed under: uncultured bacterium
Lineage: Bacteria
Description: partial 16S ribosomal RNA
Rfam family: Bacterial small subunit ribosomal RNA
Source: RNAcentral